This 2903-nucleotide ribosomal RNA is filed under the name Escherichia coli. Its description in RNAcentral is "23S ribosomal RNA". It matches the Rfam family "Bacterial large subunit ribosomal RNA". Lineage: Bacteria; Pseudomonadati; Pseudomonadota; Gammaproteobacteria; Enterobacterales; Enterobacteriaceae. The record is from RNAcentral.
GGUUAAGCGACUAAGCGUACACGGUGGAUGCCCUGGCAGUCAGAGGCGAUGAAGGACGUGCUAAUCUGCGAUAAGCGUCGGUAAGGUGAUAUGAACCGUUAUAACCGGCGAUUUCCGAAUGGGGAAACCCAGUGUGUUUCGACACACUAUCAUUAACUGAAUCCAUAGGUUAAUGAGGCGAACCGGGGGAACUGAAACAUCUAAGUACCCCGAGGAAAAGAAAUCAACCGAGAUUCCCCCAGUAGCGGCGAGCGAACGGGGAGCAGCCCAGAGCCUGAAUCAGUGUGUGUGUUAGUGGAAGCGUCUGGAAAGGCGCGCGAUACAGGGUGACAGCCCCGUACACAAAAAUACACAUACUGUGAGCUCGAUGAGUAGGGCGGGACACGUGGUAUCCUGUCUGAAUAUGGGGGGACCAUCCUCCAAGGCUAAAUACUCCUGACUGACCGAUAGUGAACCAGUACCGUGAGGGAAAGGCGAAAAGAACCCCGGCGAGGGGAGUGAAAAAGAACCUGAAACCGUGUACGUACAAGCAGUGGGAGCACGCUUAGGCGUGUGACUGCGUACCUUUUGUAUAAUGGGUCAGCGACUUAUAUUCUGUAGCAAGGUUAACCGAAUAGGGGAGCCGAAGGGAAACCGAGUCUUAACUGGGCGUUAAGUUGCAGGGUAUAGACCCGAAACCCGGUGAUCUAGCCAUGGGCAGGUUGAAGGUUGGGUAACACUAACUGGAGGACCGAACCGACUAAUGUUGAAAAAUUAGCGGAUGACUUGUGGCUGGGGGUGAAAGGCCAAUCAAACCGGGAGAUAGCUGGUUCUCCCCGAAAGCUAUUUAGGUAGCGCCUCGUGAAUUCAUCUCCGGGGGUAGAGCACUGUUUCGGCAAGGGGGUCAUCCCGACUUACCAACCCGAUGCAAACUGCGAAUACCGGAGAAUGUUAUCACGGGAGACACACGGCGGGUGCUAACGUCCGUCGUGAAGAGGGAAACAACCCAGACCGCCAGCUAAGGUCCCAAAGUCAUGGUUAAGUGGGAAACGAUGUGGGAAGGCCCAGACAGCCAGGAUGUUGGCUUAGAAGCAGCCAUCAUUUAAAGAAAGCGUAAUAGCUCACUGGUCGAGUCGGCCUGCGCGGAAGAUGUAACGGGGCUAAACCAUGCACCGAAGCUGCGGCAGCGACACUGUGUGUUGUUGGGUAGGGGAGCGUUCUGUAAGCCUGCGAAGGUGUGCUGUGAGGCAUGCUGGAGGUAUCAGAAGUGCGAAUGCUGACAUAAGUAACGAUAAAGCGGGUGAAAAGCCCGCUCGCCGGAAGACCAAGGGUUCCUGUCCAACGUUAAUCGGGGCAGGGUGAGUCGACCCCUAAGGCGAGGCCGAAAGGCGUAGUCGAUGGGAAACAGGUUAAUAUUCCUGUACUUGGUGUUACUGCGAAGGGGGGACGGAGAAGGCUAUGUUGGCCGGGCGACGGUUGUCCCGGUUUAAGCGUGUAGGCUGGUUUUCCAGGCAAAUCCGGAAAAUCAAGGCUGAGGCGUGAUGACGAGGCACUACGGUGCUGAAGCAACAAAUGCCCUGCUUCCAGGAAAAGCCUCUAAGCAUCAGGUAACAUCAAAUCGUACCCCAAACCGACACAGGUGGUCAGGUAGAGAAUACCAAGGCGCUUGAGAGAACUCGGGUGAAGGAACUAGGCAAAAUGGUGCCGUAACUUCGGGAGAAGGCACGCUGAUAUGUAGGUGAAGUCCCUCGCGGAUGGAGCUGAAAUCAGUCGAAGAUACCAGCUGGCUGCAACUGUUUAUUAAAAACACAGCACUGUGCAAACACGAAAGUGGACGUAUACGGUGUGACGCCUGCCCGGUGCCGGAAGGUUAAUUGAUGGGGUUAGCGCAAGCGAAGCUCUUGAUCGAAGCCCCGGUAAACGGCGGCCGUAACUAUAACGGUCCUAAGGUAGCGAAAUUCCUUGUCGGGUAAGUUCCGACCUGCACGAAUGGCGUAAUGAUGGCCAGGCUGUCUCCACCCGAGACUCAGUGAAAUUGAACUCGCUGUGAAGAUGCAGUGUACCCGCGGCAAGACGGAAAGACCCCGUGAACCUUUACUAUAGCUUGACACUGAACAUUGAGCCUUGAUGUGUAGGAUAGGUGGGAGGCUUUGAAGUGUGGACGCCAGUCUGCAUGGAGCCGACCUUGAAAUACCACCCUUUAAUGUUUGAUGUUCUAACGUUGACCCGUGAUCCGGGUUGCGGACAGUGUCUGGUGGGUAGUUUGACUGGGGCGGUCUCCUCCUAAAGAGUAACGGAGGAGCACGAAGGUUGGCUAAUCCUGGUCGGACAUCAGGAGGUUAGUGCAAUGGCAUAAGCCAGCUUGACUGCGAGCGUGACGGCGCGAGCAGGUGCGAAAGCAGGUCAUAGUGAUCCGGUGGUUCUGAAUGGAAGGGCCAUCGCUCAACGGAUAAAAGGUACUCCGGGGAUAACAGGCUGAUACCGCCCAAGAGUUCAUAUCGACGGCGGUGUUUGGCACCUCGAUGUCGGCUCAUCACAUCCUGGGGCUGAAGUAGGUCCCAAGGGUAUGGCUGUUCGCCAUUUAAAGUGGUACGCGAGCUGGGUUUAGAACGUCGUGAGACAGUUCGGUCCCUAUCUGCCGUGGGCGCUGGAGAACUGAGGGGGGCUGCUCCUAGUACGAGAGGACCGGAGUGGACGCAUCACUGGUGUUCGGGUUGUCAUGCCAAUGGCACUGCCCGGUAGCUAAAUGCGGAAGAGAUAAGUGCUGAAAGCAUCUAAGCACGAAACUUGCCCCGAGAUGAGUUCUCCCUGACUCCUUGAGAGUCCUGAAGGAACGUUGAAGACGACGACGUUGAUAGGCCGGGUGUGUAAGCGCAGCGAUGCGUUGAGCUAACCGGUACUAAUGAACCGUGAGGCUUAACCUU